GUGCUCAAUGCAGCAGCACAUGUACUAAAAUUGGAACGAUACCGAGAUUAGCAUGGCCUCUGCGCAAGGCUGACAGGCAAAUCCGUGAAGCGUUCCAUAUUAUU
Pteronotus mesoamericanus is the source of this 104-nucleotide small nuclear RNA. The record is from RefSeq and is a predicted model, not a curated record. NCBI's taxonomy places the organism in Eukaryota, Metazoa, Chordata, Mammalia, Chiroptera, Mormoopidae.